GAUUAACGCUGGCGGCGUGCCUAACACACGCAAGUCGAACGAGGUAGCAAUACCUAGUGGCAGACGGGUGAGUAACGCGUGGUCAACCUACCGUUGAGUGGGGGAUAACUAGCCGAAAGUUAGCUAAUACCGCAUACGUCUCCGAGGGGCAUCCCUUGGCGAUAAAAGGAGCAAUCCGCUCGAUGACGGGACCGCGUCCCAUUAGCUAGAUGGUGGGGUAACGGCCUACCAUGGCACCGAUGGGAGCUGGUCUGAGAGGACGAUCAGCCACACUGGCACUGCGACACGGGCCAGACUCCUACGGGAGGCAGCAGUAAGGAAUAUUGCGCAAUGGGCGAAAGCCUGACGCAGCGACGCCGC
RNAcentral lists this ribosomal RNA (360 nucleotides) under uncultured bacterium. RNAcentral's name for it is "bacterial SSU rRNA". It matches the Rfam family "Bacterial small subunit ribosomal RNA", at positions 28 to 400 of the family's 1533-position model. The record is from RNAcentral.